RNAcentral lists this non-coding RNA (35 nucleotides) under unclassified sequences. RNAcentral describes it as "DUF805b RNA". It matches the Rfam family "DUF805b RNA". From Rfam's summary of the family: Bacteroidetes, Chlorobi (1 example), Proteobacteria. Lineage (Flavobacteria) The record is from RNAcentral.
AAGGAACAAGCCGAAAAUCCUCAAUAGAGUAGGCA